Molecule: small nucleolar RNA, 110 nt
Organism: Myodes glareolus (Bank vole)
Lineage: Eukaryota; Metazoa; Chordata; Mammalia; Rodentia; Cricetidae
Product: small nucleolar RNA SNORA26
Source: RefSeq, a predicted model, not a curated record
AAACACAGUUGAGGUCUUGCCUUAUAAGGCAAAAGUAGUCUAGUGGCUCUUCAUAAAACCCACAGAGGAGACUGGACACCUCCUCUUUGGAUCCUGUCUGGAGUCUAGUU